GGGUUUUUAGUAUAUUUUAGUAUUUUUGAUUGCAGAUCAUUUGGUUUUAGCCUU
RNAcentral lists this transfer RNA (54 nucleotides) under Dipetalonema gracile. Its description in RNAcentral is "tRNA-Cys". Lineage: Eukaryota; Metazoa; Nematoda; Chromadorea; Rhabditida; Onchocercidae. The record is from RNAcentral.